UACAGAGGUCCCAAGCGUUGUUCGGAUUCAUUGGGCGUAAAGGGUGCGUAGGCGGCGCGGUAAGUCGGGUGUGAAAUCUCGGAGCUUAACUCCGAAACUGCAUUCGAUACUGCCGUGCUUGAGGACUGGAGAGGAGAGUGGAAUUCAUGGUGUAGCAGUGAAAUGCGUAGAGAUCAUGAGGAAGACCAGUGGCGAAGGCGGGUCUCUGGACAGUUCCUGACACUGAGGCACGAAGGCCAGGGGAGCAAACGGG
Molecule: ribosomal RNA, 253 nt
Filed under: uncultured bacterium
Lineage: Bacteria
Description: partial 16S ribosomal RNA
Rfam family: Bacterial small subunit ribosomal RNA
Source: RNAcentral